RNAcentral lists this non-coding RNA (66 nucleotides) under Providencia alcalifaciens. The record is from RNAcentral. Lineage: Bacteria; Pseudomonadati; Pseudomonadota; Gammaproteobacteria; Enterobacterales; Morganellaceae.
GGAGGUACGACAUUGCUCACAUUGCUUCCAGUGUUUACUUUAGCCAGCAUAUGCUGGCUAUUUUUU